RNAcentral lists this ribosomal RNA (2005 nucleotides) under Auricularia polytricha. RNAcentral describes it as "small subunit ribosomal RNA". The stretch from base 1 to 1751 matches the Rfam family "Bacterial small subunit ribosomal RNA". The record is from RNAcentral. Lineage: Eukaryota; Fungi; Basidiomycota; Agaricomycetes; Auriculariales; Auriculariaceae.
UUAAGAAAGAAUUUAAUUUUGGUUCCGAUUGAACGUUUUUCAGUAGUUUUAAGACAUGCAAAUCAUUGUUUCUGACAGUAUAAAAUUAUUUAAAAAUUAAUAAAAUGAUUAUUAAAUAAAUGAAUAUAAUAUGAAAUAAGGUGUAGAGGUGAGGAUAGUAAAUAAGAUACCCUGUAGUCUUCAUAAAUAGAAGAUAUUAUUCUAAGUAAAUUAUUUAAAUUUAUUACUAGUAUUUUUAAAUUAAUUUGCUUGCAUUAUAUAAUAUUAUAAUUGUUUAUCAAUUAUAUAAAAUUAUAAUUGUUUUUCAUUAAUUGUACAAAUUUUAAAUAAAAAAUGACUAAAGCAAAUAUUAUUUAAAUAACAAUAAUGUAAAAUAAAUGAAUAAAAUAAAAAAGCUAUUUUUAUUAAAAAAAGGAAAUUUUCUGCUAUAGGAUUCUAUUUAUUUUGAUUAGGUAGUUGGUAUGGGUAAAGGCCUACCAAGCCGACAAUCAAUAGCCAUGCUUGACAGAGCAGAUGGCCACAUUGGGACUGAAAUCUCCCAAGUAGUUUUAUACUACCAGCAGUCAAGAAUAUUAGUCAAUGCUCGAAAGAGUGAACUAGCUAACUGAAAUCGCAAAUGUGUCAUUUGUGAUAAAGUAAGAGAAAAUUAUGAUAUUAUCUUACUAAUAGUGCUGUCCAAAACUGGUGCCAGAAGACUCGGUAAGGCCAGAGGCGCAAACGUUAGUCGUCCUAAUCAGGCGUAAAGGGUUUGUAGGCUGCUUUGAAAAUCUUAAAAUUCUAAUAGCUAUUAAAUGAUAAGAUGAAUUGAAGCUAGAAUCUAAUAGAGGGUAAAACAAAUAAUAUUUAAAGUAAGGAUUAAAUCUUAAGAGUUUAGAUGGAAUACUAACGGUUAAAACUUUUAUCUAUUAACAGAUUGACGCUGAGAAACGAAAGGGAGGUAAGGAAACAGGAUUAGAUACCCAAUUACUGCUCCCUGUCAACGAUGAAUGGUGGUUGCUAGUUAUAACUACUAAGCUAUAAUGAGACAAAUAUAGCACAAAAUGUAGUUAAAAAGACUGGUAGCGAUGCUAACGCGUUAACCAUUCCGCCUUGUGAGUACGACUGCAAAGUUGAAAACAAAAAAAUUAGUCGGUUUCGAAGCAAACGAAGUGAAGCAUGUUAUUUAAUACGAUAAUCCGCGUAAAAUCUUACCAGUUCUUGCAUACAAACUUUUGUUUUUUAUAAUUUUAAACUGAUUAUUUAAAAAAAAGGAGUGUUUUAAAUUUAUUUACAAAUACUUAGAUACAGGUGUUGCAUGGCUGUCGUCAGUCCGUGCUGUGAGAAGUUUGGUUAAAUCCGCUAACGGACAAAAUCCCUGUUGUUAAUUUAUACUUAACAAUUAAUGAUACUGAUAGAGCAUCAUUUGGGGCGAAGACAAGUCGUUAUGGCCCUCAUGAACUGGGCUAUAGACGUGCCACAAAGACUUUAACAAAGUGAAGCAAUACUGUUCCCUUAAUAUUAUUCUAAAGAAUUUUAUUAGAUUUUAAUAACAACAAUUAAAUUAUAGGGAAUUUAAGGAGGAGCUAAUCAUUAAAAAAAGUCAAACUAUUAAAUAUAAUCGGAUUGUCAUCUGAAACUCGGGGACAUGAAGAAGGAAUUUCGAGUAAUCGUUGAUCACUACGCAACGGUGAAGCUAGCAUUCGGAAUGAACUAACCGUCUGUCGCUGGGAAGGAGUUUAACUUGGUGGAAACUGGAAUGAAGUUUUACCUUUUACAAUCUUAAAAUUUUUUAUUUAGUAUCUUUGAUAUUUUAUUUAAAAUUUAUUAGUUUUUUUUCGUUAGAAUUUUUAAUUUAUUGCUUAAUUAAACAGUAUUAUUUUUGUUUAAAGAAUAUAUACUUGUCUAACAAUGUUAAAUUUAAAACGAUUUUGUUAAGCAAAUUAGUUCUAGUUAAACCAAUUAAAUAACAUCUCAAAAGUCAUAGCAAGGUAGCCGUACUGGAAAGUGCUGCUGUAAAAUAAAACGA